GAUCCGAGGCUCCUCCACGCCAUUUUCUCCUUUGAAGUAGUCAUUUAUAAAUUCUUCUCCCAUGCCUUUUAUAACACUCAUACGACGCAUUUCUAGUCCCACCUGUCUUAACAUUUUGUGAUCUAUUUCUUAGUUACUUUAUUGGAAUUUGGAAGUUCCUCACUAAAAAACAUUCCUAAGUGAUCAGGGUUGACUCUCAAUGAAUCGAAUGAUAA
Molecule: long non-coding RNA, 215 nt
Filed under: Malus domestica (apple)
Lineage: Eukaryota; Viridiplantae; Streptophyta; Magnoliopsida; Rosales; Rosaceae
Description: long non-coding RNA (MDOM_LNC002569)
Source: RNAcentral